Molecule: ribosomal RNA, 1048 nt
Filed under: Mycoplasmoides gallisepticum
Lineage: Bacteria; Bacillati; Mycoplasmatota; Mycoplasmoidales; Mycoplasmoidaceae
Description: bacterial SSU rRNA
Rfam family: Bacterial small subunit ribosomal RNA
Source: RNAcentral
GAUUAACGCUGGCGGCAUGCCUAAUACAUGCAAGUCGAUCGGAUGUAGCAAUACAUUAGAGGCGAACGGGUGAGUAACACGUAUCCAAUCUGCCUUAUAGUGGGGGGAUAACUAGUCGAAAGAUUAGCUAAUACCGCAUAACAAGUUAACUAUCGCAUGAGAAUAACUUUAAAGAAGCAACUGCUUCGCUAUAAGAUGAGGGUGCGGCAUAUCAGCUAGUUGGUGAGGGUAAUGGCCCACCAAGGCGAUGACGUGUAGUUAUGCUGAGAGGUAGAAUAACCACAAUGGGACUGAGACACGGCCCAUACUCCUACGGGAGGCAGCAGUAGGGAAUUUUUCACAAUGGACGAAAGUCUGAUGGAGCAAUGCCGCGUGAACGAUGAAGGUCUUAGAUUGUAAAGUUCUUUUAUUUGGGAAGAACAGUUAGUAGAGUGGAAAGCUAUUAAUUUGACUGUACCAUUUGAAUAAGUAACGACUAACUAUGUGCCAGCAGUCGCGGUAAUACAUAGGUUGCAAGCGUUAUCCGGAUUUAUUGGGCGUAAAACAAGCGCAGGCGGAUUAGAAAGUCUGGUGUUAAAAGCAAUUGCUUAACGAUUGUAUGCAUUGGAAACUUCUAGUCUAGAGUUUGGUAGAGAGUCCUGGAACUCCAUGUGGAGCGGUGAAAUGCGUAGAUAUAUGGAAGAACACCAGAGGCGAAGGCGAGGACUUGGGCCAAUACUGACGCUUAGGCUUGAAAGUGUGGGGAGCAAAUAGGAUUAGAUACCCUAGUAGUCCACACUGUAAACGAUGGAUGUUAAGUGUCGGAGCGAAUACUUCGGUGCUGCAGUUAACACAUUAAACAUCCUGCCUGAGUAGUACAUUCGCAAGAAUGAAACUCAAACGGAAUUGACGGGGACCCGCACAAGUGGUGGAGCAUGUUGCUUAAUUCGACGGUACACGAAAAACCUUACCUAGACUUGACAUCUUGGGCGAAGCUAUAGAAAUAUAGUGGAGGUCAACCCAAUGACAGGUGGUGCAUGGUUGUCGUCAGCUCGUGUCGUGAGAUGUU